RNAcentral lists this ribosomal RNA (579 nucleotides) under Pteraster militaris. RNAcentral's name for it is "partial 16S ribosomal RNA". It matches the Rfam family "Bacterial large subunit ribosomal RNA", at positions 1817 to 2597 of the family's 2925-position model. The record is from RNAcentral. Lineage: Eukaryota; Metazoa; Echinodermata; Asteroidea; Velatida; Pterasteridae.
UGCCCUUUGAAAAAUAGUUUAUAUAAAGGGUACUGCCUGCCCAGUGACGUUGUUCAACGGCCGCGGUAUUUUGACCGUGCAAAGGUAGCAUAAUCAUUUGUCUUUUAAAUGAAGGCUAGAAUGAAUGGCAAGACGGAAGUUAAGCUGUCUCUUUUUUUAUGAUCUUGAAAUUAAUUUUCUUGUGAAGAAGCAAGGAUUAAAUCGUGGGACGAGAAGACCCUAUUGAGCUUAAAUAAAAAUAUUAAAUGAUAUAAAAUUAUGUUUUAACUAAUAGAAUAUUAAACUUAUAAAUUUAUUGAAAUAUAAUUAAAUUAAUAAUAGUAUUAUUUUGAUUGGGGCAAUCGCGGAGAAUAAAAUCCUCCGCUAAAAUUUAGAAAAUUAAUUAUUUAAUGAAUAAAUAUUAUUUUUAAAUGAUCCUCUUAAUUAAGUGAUCAAAGGAACAAGUUACCUUAGGGAUAACAGCGUAAUUUUUUUGGAGAGUUCAUAUUGAUAAAAAAGUUUGCGACCUCGAUGUUGGAUCGGGAUUUCCAGGGGAUGCAGUAGUUCCCAAGGGUUGGUCUGUUCGUCCAUUAAAAUCCU